RNAcentral lists this ribosomal RNA (408 nucleotides) under uncultured bacterium. RNAcentral describes it as "partial 16S ribosomal RNA". It matches the Rfam family "Bacterial small subunit ribosomal RNA", at positions 28 to 526 of the family's 1533-position model. The record is from RNAcentral.
GACGAACGCUGGCGGCGUGCUUAACACAUGCAAGUCGAACGGAGUGGCGAACGGGUGAGUAACACGUGGGUGAUCUGCCUUGCACUUCGGGAUAAGCUUGGGAAACUGGGUCUAAUACCGGAUAGUGCAAGAUGAGCUCGGGGCCUAUCAGCUUGUUGGUGGGGUAAUGGCCUACCAAGGAGUCGACGGGUAGCCGGCCUGCGAGGGGGUACGGCCACCAUGGGACUAAGAUACGGCCCAGACUCGUACGGGAGGCAGCAGUGGGGAAUAUUGCACAAUGGGGGGAAGCCUGAUGCAGCGACGCCGCGUGGGGAAUGAAGGCCUUCGGGUGAUAAACUCCUUUCGACGGGGACGCGGUACCUGUAUAGAAAGCACCGGCUAACUACGUGCCAGCAGCCGCGGUAAUAC